GACGAACGCUGGCGGCGUGCUUAACACAUGCAAGUCGAACGGACAGGCCCUGCUUUUGUGGGUUUCUCGAGUGGCGAACGGGUGAGUAACACGUGAGUAACCUGCCCUUGACUUUGGGAUAACUUCAGGAAACUGGGGCUCAUACCGGAUAUGAUCUCCUGCUGCAUGUUGGGGGUUGGAAAGUUUCGGCGGUUGGGGCUGGACUCGCGGCUUAUCAGCUUGUUGGUGUGGUAGUGGCUUACCAAGGCUUUGACGGGUAGCCGGCCUGAGAGGGUUACCGGCCACAUGGGGACUGAGAUACGGACCAGAAUCCUACGGGAGGCAGCAGUGGGGAAUAUUGCACAAUGGGCGGAAGCCUGAUGCAGCAACGCCGCGUGCGGGAUGACGGCCUUCGGGUUGUAAACCGAUUUCGCCGGUGACGAAGAGUGAGUGACGGUAAUGGGUAAAGAAGCACCGGCUAACUACGUG
RNAcentral lists this ribosomal RNA (468 nucleotides) under uncultured bacterium. RNAcentral's name for it is "partial 16S ribosomal RNA". It matches the Rfam family "Bacterial small subunit ribosomal RNA", at positions 28 to 507 of the family's 1533-position model. The record is from RNAcentral.